Molecule: ribosomal RNA, 771 nt
Filed under: Salmonella enterica
Lineage: Bacteria; Pseudomonadati; Pseudomonadota; Gammaproteobacteria; Enterobacterales; Enterobacteriaceae
Description: partial 23S ribosomal RNA
Rfam family: Bacterial large subunit ribosomal RNA
Source: RNAcentral
GUGGACGCCAGUCUGCAUGGAGCCGACCUUGAAAUACCACCCUUUAAUGUUUGAUGUUCUAACGUGGACCCGUUACCCGGGUUGCGGACAGUGUCUGGUGGGUAGUUUGACUGGGGCGGUCUCCUCCUAAAGAGUAACGGAGGAGCACGAAGGUUGGCUAAUCCUGGUCGGACAUCAGGAGGUUAGUGCAAUGGCAUAAGCCAGCUUGACUGCGAGCGUGACGGCGCGAGCAGGUGCGAAAGCAGGUCAUAGUGAUCCGGUGGUUCUGAAUGGAAGGGCCAUCGCUCAACGGAUAAAAGGUACUCCGGGGAUAACAGGCUGAUACCGCCCAAGAGUUCAUAUCGACGGCGGUGUUUGGCACCUCGAUGUCGGCUCAUCACAUCCUGGGGCUGAAGUAGGUCCCAAGGGUAUGGCUGUUCGCCAUUUAAAGUGGUACGCGAGCUGGGUUUAGAACGUCGUGAGACAGUUCGGUCCCUAUCUGCCGUGGGCGCUGGAGAACUGAGGGGGGCUGCUCCUAGUACGAGAGGACCGGAGUGGACGCAUCACUGGUGUUCGGGUUGUCAUGCCAAUGGCACUGCCCGGUAGCUAAAUGCGGAAGAGAUAAGUGCUGAAAGCAUCUAAGCACGAAACUUGCCCCGAGAUGAGUUCUCCCUGAGACUUUAGGUCUCCUGAAGGAACGUUGAAGACGACGACGUUGAUAGGCCGGGUGUGUAAGCGCAGCGAUGCGUUGAGCUAACCGGUACUAAUGAACCGUGAGGCUUAACCUUACAA